Molecule: ribosomal RNA, 775 nt
Filed under: uncultured Neocallimastigales
Lineage: Eukaryota; Fungi; Neocallimastigomycota; Neocallimastigomycetes; Neocallimastigales
Description: partial large subunit ribosomal RNA
Rfam family: Eukaryotic large subunit ribosomal RNA
Source: RNAcentral
UACGACUACAUAUCAGGCAUAUCAAUAAGCGGAGGAAAAGAAACUAACAAGGAUUCCCUUAGUAACGGCGAGUGAAGCGGGAAGAGCUCAAAUUUGAAAUCUUCAAGGUUCUACCUUGACGAAUUGUAGUUUAUAGAAGUGUUUUCUGUUAGUGGAGUGGCAAAAGUUCUUUGGAAUAGGACAUCAUAGAGGGUGAGAAUCCCGUAUUUGGUCAUUCCUCCUAGCGUUGUGAUACACUUUCAACGAGUCGGAUUGUUUGGGAAUGCAGUCCAAAAUGGGUGGUAAAUUUCAUCUAAAGCUAAAUAUUGGCGAGAGACCGAUAGCGAACAAGUACCGUGAGGGUAAAGAUGAAAAGAACUUUGAAAAGAGAGUUAAACAGUACGUGAAAUUGUCAAAAGGGAAGCGUUUGACACCAGUGUUGUUUUCUCGAAAAUCAAUUAAAAAUGGCCGGAUUUUGUGUUGUAUUGACUUUAUCAGCUUUCUGCACUUUUUUCUUGUCUUUUUUAAUGCACUUUUCGUUUAACAAGUCAACAUCAAUUUCUUUUGUUGUAAAAGAGUCAUUGGAAGGUGGCUUUCAUUUCGGUGAAAGUGUUUAUAGCCUUUGACUCCUGCAAUCGGAGAGACUGAGGUCUGCAGCGUAGAUCCUUCUGGAUUAGAUUCAUUUGUGCUAAGUUAUAGCUUUUUAUAGACAACUUGUUGACUAUGUUUAGUCUUGUAGCUUACUCGCUUAUGUAAUUUUACCUACGCUUAGGAUGUUGAACGCGCACAGAGUCUC